GAUGAACGCUGGCGGCGUGCCUAAUACAUGCAAGUCGAGCGAACGGACGAGAAGCUUGCUUCUCUGAUGUUAGCGGCGGACGGGUGAGUAACACGUGGAUAACCUACCUAUAAGACUGGGAUAACUUCGGGAAACCGGAGCUAAUACCGGAUAAUAUUUUGAACCGCAUGGUUCAAAAGUGAAAGACAGUCUUGCUGUCACUUAUAGAUGGAUCCGCGCUGCAUUAGCUAGUUGGUAAGGUAACGGCUUACCAAGGCAACGAUGCAUAGCCUACCUGAGAGGGUGAUCGGCCACACUGGAACUGAGACACGGUCCAGACUCCUACGGGAGGCAGCAGUAGGGAAUCUUCCGCAAUGGGCGAAAGCCUGACGGAGCAACGCCGCGUGAGUGAUGAAGGUCUUCGGAUCGUAAAACUCUGUUAUUAGGGAAGAACAUAUGUGUAAGUAACUGUGCACAUCUUGACGGUACCUAAUCAGAAAGCCACGGCUAACUACGUG
Molecule: ribosomal RNA, 497 nt
Filed under: uncultured bacterium
Lineage: Bacteria
Description: partial 16S ribosomal RNA
Rfam family: Bacterial small subunit ribosomal RNA
Source: RNAcentral